UACGUAGGGGGCAAGCGUUAUCCGGAUUUACUGGGUGUAAAGGGAGCGCAGACGGCAGUGCAAGUCUGGAGUGAAAGCCCGGGGCCCAACCCCGGAACUGCUCUGGAAACUGUGCGGCUAGAGUACUGGAGGGGCAGGCGGAAUUCCUAGUGUAGCGGUGAAAUGUGUAGAUAUUAGGAGGAACACCAGUGGCGAAGGCGGCCUGCUGGACAGUAACUGACGUUGAGGCUCGAAAGCGUGGGGAGCAAACAGG
RNAcentral lists this ribosomal RNA (253 nucleotides) under uncultured bacterium. RNAcentral's name for it is "partial 16S ribosomal RNA". It matches the Rfam family "Bacterial small subunit ribosomal RNA", at positions 524 to 776 of the family's 1533-position model. The record is from RNAcentral.